This 253-nucleotide ribosomal RNA is filed under the name uncultured bacterium. RNAcentral describes it as "partial 16S ribosomal RNA". It matches the Rfam family "Bacterial small subunit ribosomal RNA", at positions 524 to 776 of the family's 1533-position model. The record is from RNAcentral.
UACGUAGGGAGCAAGCGUUGUCCGGAAUCAUUGGGCGUAAAGCGCGCGUAGGUGGCCUCGUAAGUCCGCUGUGAAAGUCAAAGGCUCAACCUUUGAAAGCCGGUGGAUACUGUGAGGCUAGAGUACGGAAGAGGCGAGUGGAAUUCCUGGUGUAGCGGUGGAAUGCGCAGAUAUCAGGAGGAACACCAAUAGCGAAGGCAGCUCGCUGGGACGUUACUGACACCGAGGCGCGAAAGCGUGGGGAGCGAACAGG